GCACUGUUGACGAGUUCAAAAAAGGACGAAACAGCUGUCCAGUGC
Non-coding RNA from Echinostoma caproni, 45 nucleotides. Lineage: Eukaryota; Metazoa; Platyhelminthes; Trematoda; Plagiorchiida; Echinostomatidae. The record is from Rfam.